Molecule: long non-coding RNA, 342 nt
Filed under: Citrus maxima (pomelo)
Lineage: Eukaryota; Viridiplantae; Streptophyta; Magnoliopsida; Sapindales; Rutaceae
Description: long non-coding RNA (CMAX_LNC001986)
Source: RNAcentral
GGGUUAUUUUUCGCCACCCCCCAUAUGUUUCGACAAAUAUUACCGUGCACCCACUUGUUUCAAUAAUGAUCGCCGCGCACCCAUUCCGUUAAGUUCUCCCGUUUAAUUUAACGAUUGUUACAGUUAUUUUGGUGAAAGACGAUUUUGUCCACAAUUUGAAUUUCAAAUUAUUAAAUUACAAAAAAAUGCAUCAAUCACUGACAAAGUGCACGUUGAAUUGGGAAAUUGUCUGAAAAACUGUUACAGCCAAAAGUCAAAAUUACCCACAAAAUUUAACAUAUUUACGAGUGAAAAAUUACUAUUUUGCCCUUAAAAAAUAAUGCUCCAAAAGUCUUAUAACGG